This 72-nucleotide transfer RNA is filed under the name Camelus bactrianus (Bactrian camel). It matches the Rfam family "tRNA". Rfam says of the family: Transfer RNA (tRNA) molecules are approximately 80 nucleotides in length. Their secondary structure includes four short double-helical elements and three loops (D, anti-codon, and T loops). Lineage: Eukaryota; Metazoa; Chordata; Mammalia; Artiodactyla; Camelidae. RNAcentral also lists the same sequence under 2 other names. The record is from Rfam by way of RNAcentral.
GAGAGUAUAGCUCAGUGGUAGAGUGCGUGCUUAGCAUGCACGAGGUCCUGGGUUCCAUCCCCUGAACCUCCA